AGCUUAACACAUGCAAGUCGAACGGAUUUUUAUCAUAGCUUGCUAUGAUAAAAAUUAGUGGCAGACGGGUGAGUAAUGCAUAGGAAUCUACCUAGUAGUAUGGGAUAGCCACUAGAAAUGGUGGGUAAUACUGUAUAAUCCCUGCGGGGGAAAGAUUUAUCGCUAUUAGAUGAGCCUAUGUUAGAUUAGCUAGUUGGUAGGGUAAAGGCCUACCAAGGCAGUGAUCUAUAGCUGGUCUGAGAGGAUGAUCAGCCACACUGGAACUGAGAUACGGUCCAGACUCCUACGGGAGGCAGCAGUGGGGAAUAUUGGACAAUGGGCGCAAGCCUGAUCCAGCUAUGCCGCGUGAGUGAGGAAGGCCUUAGGGUUGUAAAACUCUU
Molecule: ribosomal RNA, 380 nt
Filed under: Anaplasma platys
Lineage: Bacteria; Pseudomonadati; Pseudomonadota; Alphaproteobacteria; Rickettsiales; Anaplasmataceae
Description: bacterial SSU rRNA
Rfam family: Bacterial small subunit ribosomal RNA
Source: RNAcentral